This 1383-nucleotide long non-coding RNA is filed under the name Ricinus communis (castor bean). Its description in RNAcentral is "long non-coding RNA (RCOM_LNC003328)". Lineage: Eukaryota; Viridiplantae; Streptophyta; Magnoliopsida; Malpighiales; Euphorbiaceae. The record is from RNAcentral.
UCUCAGGCCACAGCCAGAAAUGAACAAUGAAGUGAGGUUACCUCAGGAAUGGACUUACUGAACGACCCAUCAUUUUCAAUGGGGUUUAAUUAUAGUCUUAUUGUUUUGUUCUUUUGGUUAGGAGUUUUAGGAAAGUGAAAGGAGAUUUCAAAGUUGAAAGAAAAUAAAAAAUGAAUGGAUAAUUGUUAGUUCUCUAUGUAGGAUAAAGCGCUAGUAUUAGUAUAAAACAAAUAGUUUUCCGGAGGAAAUUGGGAAAGAAGGAUGGUUUCUGGGUAAGAAUUAGGGCAAAAAUAAUUUUUCAAGUUUCAGGAUAACAAGUAUUAUACGAUGCAGCAGGAGCGGUAGCAGAUUUUGUUCGUUUUUGUUUGGCUCAAGGGAAAAAGAAAAGCUGGGUGGAAAGGAGAUUCUCUAUUUCUCUGCUUUGGUGUUUCAGAUUUUAAAAUAAGUGUGAUUUUGCUUUUUGGAAAGAGAGUCUGAUGAGAGUAGUGUGAUUAGUGAAAGGAGGAGUGAGAUAUGGUAACUCCCUUCUUCUUGUAAUGCCAUCACUGUAAAUGGGUAUUUUGCGUCAUCUAUCUGUAAAAUGCUUCAUUGCAGGCCUGUCCACCCACUCUCCAAUGGCCAUCAAGUAAUAAAAUAAUGAAAUGGGUAUUUGAUUUUUCAAUUUCAGUCUCUCCCCUGUUCUUUUCUCUCAUUAAUUCUUUUGCCAUGUACUUGGCGUCUGCUAAUGUAUACAUUUGUGUGUUGUCUUGGGCCUUUGUAAUUAAUUGUCAAAGGCAUGAGUCUUUUCUCGAGCGAUGUGCUUGCCCUGCUUUCUAUGUGUUCUACUAUUGUUUAUACUUUGCUUCUAUCACAGUUGUCAAUUCUGUCCUUCAGAAGAAAAUACGCUAAUAAAAGGUGACUUAAUAAAAAAUAGUGUUUAAAAUUUAAGUUCCAAGUAUGCUAAUUAAUAAUGAAAAAGACAGGCAUAGUCAAUACUUGAUAUGGCUUAGGAACAAAGGAUCCGAUCUGGCCACUCCACUGCUGGUCUUUGAGCUGUCAAUGCAGUAGGGGUGUUGGCGUGGCGCGUGCUCCUUUUUUAUUUUGUAGUCGUCUAUCCACAAAGUGUCCUUUCUUUUGAGAUAUUUCAUUUACACAUCUCUUUUUCAUUAACCCUCUAAAAAACUUUUGCUCAGUAGAGGAAGAGACGUUGCUUUCCUAGCUUCACACACUGUACGGCCGGUAAGCAAUCAGCACUAUUUGCCGGCUAAGGUGUGUCUCAUAUAUAUAUAUAUUUUUUUUCUUUCUCUUAAAAGAUAUUUUCUCCGUAAUUUGGUAAGCACUACCUGUGGAUACGGGUUCGACGCGAAUUAAUGGUGUGCUUGGGGAAUGUCAUUUCGAGCCACG